GCGUGGAUGAAGAAGGCCCUAGGGUUGUAAAAUCCUUUCGCCAGGGAUGAUAAUGACAGUACCUGGUAAAGAAGCCCCGGCUAAUUUCGUGCCAGCAGCCGCGGUAAUACGAAAGGGGCUAGCGUUGUUCGGAAUUACUGGGCGUAAAGCGCGCGUAGGCGGCCUGCCAAGUUAGAGGUGAAAUCCCAGGGCUCAACCCUGGAACUGCCUUUAAAACUGGCAAGCUAGAGGAUGUGAGAGGAGUGUGGAAUUCCGAGUGUAGAGGUGAAAUUCGU
RNAcentral lists this ribosomal RNA (275 nucleotides) under uncultured bacterium. RNAcentral describes it as "partial 16S ribosomal RNA". It matches the Rfam family "Bacterial small subunit ribosomal RNA", at positions 399 to 691 of the family's 1533-position model. The record is from RNAcentral.